This 1523-nucleotide long non-coding RNA is filed under the name Callithrix jacchus (white-tufted-ear marmoset). Its description in RNAcentral is "lncRNA (ENSCJAG00000070326.1)". The record is from RNAcentral. Lineage: Eukaryota; Metazoa; Chordata; Mammalia; Primates; Cebidae.
GUCCUAGCAGCCUAUGGUGGCAGAAGAUCAAAAGGACAGUGCCAGACUGUCCUCCCGACAGCAGUGACCAGAGUCACUGCUAUUUCUGGCCCAAGGCCCAUUUCUCAGAGUCAAUUCAUUUUCUGGGCAGAUGCACAGUCUCUGUGGUACACAUUCCUCAGCUCCUUUCCCCAGACCAUUCCUUCAGCCAGCUUUUCCUCGACCGGGAUUCCAGAAAAAAAUGAGGCCUUGCCAAAUACUCUGCAUGGCGUUCUGGAUUCACCAAGAGGGGUGGGAGCCAGACCCUUUCUAGGUGGAAGGGAAAGGAGGUAGCCUCGUGGCGUCCUCGGGCAUCAGCCCCACUCCCUCCCGGAUCGCUGUUGUGAAGGGACAUGCCAGCCCUCUCCUCUCAGACAAAACUAGUGUUCUGCUUGGAUUCCCUGAAAUAAGCCGGGCUGCCCGUUCUUAGAGAUGGGGCUUGGGGCCCGUGGAGGGGAAGGGCCUUCGAGGUCCUGUUGGUGAUGGCCAGGCCAGCCGAGAGCCCAGGAAAGGCCCUGUCCUUAAUCUGUGCCUAGACGUCCUACCACCCAGCCACACAGUAGCUGCCACACACUCCUUCGAGGACCAGCCCCCAUGCCCAGCUUCUGCCACUUCCGCUCUGGGCCUGUGCCUGGCAGCAGGCACCCCUUGCCACAGGCAGAGCUGCCCUGCACUCCGGUCCUCUGGAAAGCCUGGUGAGAUGCCAGGCUGGGCCAUGAGCUUGGAGCCCGGCAGCGCGCGUCAGGACGCAGCAGCGGCCACCUUGACGUGAAGAGGGUGCUCCCUCCCGUAAGACGGCUCAGCUCUGCCACGGGGCACAGGGCUGACUGCCCCGAGACGCCGCCAUGCUCCUCCUGGUCCUCCAGUUACACAGCCUCCCUGGACAUUUCUAACAGAACAGGUGUUCUUAUUUCUGGGGCUCCCCAUUCAUGGGAGCCCAGCAAGGGCCGGCGGGCCACAGGGCCCUCGGUCUCUGCCCAGGCAAGUAGUCAAGUGUGGCUGCAGCUGUGCUGCCACUGCAGGCGAGGGGCCGGCCUCAGGCGGUCUUCUGCGUGAGGGGCUGUCUGGGGAGGCCCUGCUGCCUGUGGGUGCCAGUGAUUUGCAGUGCAGGGGCACAGGGUGAGUGUGGGGCAAGGAUGACCUGUGAGCCGCCAGCCUGAGCAGCAGCCUGGGCCGGAACCGCACGCUGGAAAGCCCCUUCAGCUAAGGUGGUCUCUCCCCCAGCAUCCGCUGACCCCAGCCAACUUCCUGAGGUCUGAUGCUGGUCAGCCUUCCAAGGCGUAGGUCUCACACCAACUCUGCAUCCAGCAACUCUGCGUUGGAAGCUGGAAGCCGGCCCACUGUUGGGGGAGCAGACCAGGACUCCUCCCACCCCGAGUGGCUGCGAGCCCCUCCCUAGCAGACCCGGGCCAGGCCGGUCUGACUCCAUCAAACCUGAUCCUGAUCACUGAGUGUGGCUGACUUUCUGAGCCCUAAGGAAAAACUCCAGGGCAACCCUUAUGCUU